Molecule: non-coding RNA, 547 nt
Organism: Schizosaccharomyces pombe (fission yeast)
Lineage: Eukaryota; Fungi; Ascomycota; Schizosaccharomycetes; Schizosaccharomycetales; Schizosaccharomycetaceae
Source: the annotation of a GenBank genome assembly
CUUCAUCUUAUUAACUUGGGUAGACAAGGCCAUAUUUGGCUUAGCAGGAGGAUAGGGAGGUGGAAUAAAAAAAGGAUAUUUAAACGUAGCUAAUGACUUGGCGUAUUCAUUAACCUUUUUGCCCAACUCCAAUUCCUUCCCACUCCAUUUUGACACAUCAACUUGAGGUGCAACCACCGAUUCUUGUUUAGCAACCAUCGAAGCAAAGUUUUAAAAGAAGAAGUAGUGAAGCUGCUCUUAAUGUAAAGCACAAAGCUCGGAUGGAUUAUUAUGUACAAAUAAUUUAGAGAAGACAAGCAAUGUUCAAUGCAAGUAGUAAACUUGAAAGUGUUAGCAGAACGUGUCACAAUACUUUAACACACAUAAAUACUAACUACGCAGUUUGUUAUUUAAUUUUAACGAUGUGUAGAACUGCAAUGAGCUUUAUGAUCUAUUAUAUUGCAAUAUUGCAAAAAGCAGGUAAUACAAGUAGCAACCGAGGACAUAUAUAAUAUUUUAUGUACGAUCUAUUGUUACCUAUCAUUAAUAUAGCUUUAACUAAACUGAG